This 426-nucleotide ribosomal RNA is filed under the name Triticum aestivum (bread wheat). RNAcentral's name for it is "partial small subunit ribosomal RNA". Lineage: Eukaryota; Viridiplantae; Streptophyta; Magnoliopsida; Poales; Poaceae. The record is from RNAcentral.
AUGAAACAAGGAGAAAUAUGCACCAUCGAGGUUGUCGACAGUGCAACCGGCAGGCCGCUGGAGCCCCGCAAGAACGCCACCAAGUUUGUCAACCAAUGCGGAGCCGUUGUUAGAGACAACGUCUCGAUCACCGUCCAGGAGUGGAAUAAGCCAAAGAAGGCACGAAUUGCUGGUUUCACUUUUGUCGAUAAGAGAACAAAAAAAGAUUGCUUCAAGAAGCUUAUGGAACAUUUCGUUCUACCUCCGGAAUACAACAAAUUCGAUGAGGAGGGUAACAAGAUUGAGGAAAACAAGGAGAGGAGGAGGCUAGUCAAACAGUUCGCUCUUCAUAAGAUGGCCGACGCAUUCCGGAAAUUCAAGCAAAAUCUAGCCCAUGACUUUGUCAAGCAGAACAAGACUCCGGAUUUCAAAGGACAAUAUGAGUAA